Molecule: long non-coding RNA, 2826 nt
Filed under: Sus scrofa (pig)
Lineage: Eukaryota; Metazoa; Chordata; Mammalia; Artiodactyla; Suidae
Description: lncRNA (ENSSSCG00065072741.1)
Source: RNAcentral
AAGACACAUUUAAUAGAAUCAACUUAUGUAGAUAAAGAGUAUUUGCCUGGGGACCGUGGGGUAAUAAAGCGACAUGGUGAAAGGUUUUGAAUGUCAAAGACACUGGGACAGGUAAACCACAUUAUGGAGGCAACAAAGUAGCACUAACUGAUGACAAAGUACACGAAGGACUGUAUAAGAGAAACACUGGAGUCAUGAAACACCACUGGUUGGUGUAGUACAGUGCCAGGCAUGAAGAGGUAACAGGUCUACUCCAGGGGCAAGGGGAGAAGUGAAGAAUAAUUCUCUGAAUAAGAAAGAUAUUAUCAUCAACCAGCACACUUUGUUACUAAUGACUAGCAGUGAGAUGACAGCAAGGAAUAAAUCACAGGCUCCAAAGGGUCUAACAAGAUUCAAUUUAAUUAAGGAAACGAUGGUAUUGCUCAUGAAAAUACUUUAAUGGUGGAAGAAUAAAUAGAAGCAUAAUUGAUCACCAGGCCAGACAUGCAGUGUUUCAUUGGGCCGGUUCCUCCUUAUAAUGGCAAAAAAGUAUGACUAAACAAAUGCAAGCAUACACAUCACUCCUUAGAUCAUUCUUGAUGGGCAUUAGACACUGAAUAUAGAGAAUUUUUAAGGUCCAAAUCAUGGGAGAAUUCAUAGGAAAUCCAAGCUUUCUGUUUAGAUUAUACUUCUCUUCUUAUUUUGCUCUGUUAACACAAGUUGUUGGCCUUAGUUAAUUGGUGUUUCAUAUAGAUGAAAGUACUGACAAAACUUGGUUUGUCUUGGACACUCAUUCUUGUGGAAAUGUAACGAAAUUUUAAUUUGCACAGUAUCUGAUCCAAACAGGUUUUUCUUUUGUUGAGUGUGUUUUAUGAACCAUGUCAAGAAUUUUUUUUCCCAAUGCAGGAUCCAUUCUCUCACCAGGCAAAAGGAUUGCUCUCUCACUGUGUAAUUUCUCUGUAUGACCUAACAUCAAGUAGCUACAAUCUGUUCCAAGAAUUGAAAGCCUAGCUUUCCUCUCUGCCUACUUAGGUCGUGUGUUUAAUUUUUUAGGUCAAUAUAUCCAAUUAAAACAGGUUCAAUGCAGAAUAGAGAGAAAAAGGUGGAAGACUCACAAAGGACAAGAUGUUUACUUGUCUUAAGUUAUAUAAAUAAGAAGGGAAAUGAAAAUGCCCUACUGAUUUGUGCUGGGAGUGGGAGACCCCUAAAAUUCAACAACUCAAAAAACAUCUUUCAAGAUAGCAUCAGAGGAGUUCUGUGACCCCUGGAAAGGUCAAGGACAAAUGCUGUCCAUAUUUGGAGGAGGAAGAUGCUAUCUUUCAAGAUAGCAUCAGAUUCUCUCCAUAUUUGGAGGAGGAAGAUGCUGUCUUUCAAGGUAGCAUCAGAUUCUCUCCNCUCCAUAUUUGGAGGAGGAAGAUGCUACAAGAUAGCAUCAGAUUCUCUCCAAAUUUGGAGGAGGAGAUGCUAUCUUUCAAGAUAGUAUCAGAGGAAUCCUGUGACCCCUGGAAAGGUCAUGGACAAAUUCUCUCCAUAUUUGGAGGAGGAAGUCAUCAAAGUAUAUUUUAAAUCAAAUCAAAGAGGGUAUUCUAUCAGUCUCACGAACUAAUAAAAAAGUUCUGCAUUUUCAAUCCUUUGUAAAAAUUGCGAAGGACAGCAUUUUGGGGCAUCCACCUGCUUCUUUAUCUGGCUAGGCCUUUAGCUCCAGAGUUUUUAUAUUCCUCACAUGGGCAGAAUUCCAAAGGCCUUUACUCAUCCCUAUAGGGAGAUAGAGACCAAAUCAGGUGUCUUGCAGCUUUAGGCUGUAAGAGAUGUUAAGGUCUUGGAAGGGUCAGAUGGCUAGUUAAGUUAAGGUCUUGGAAGGGUCAGAUGGCUAGUUCUAGCUAACUGAAAGUAUCCUACUCUUUGCCCCUUUCUUUAAAAUCUGUGGUUAACUUGGCAAGAGAGACUAUCCAGAUUGAUUUUUAGGUUCUUUUCUUUGGCAAGAUGCUUGAUGACCAGAAGCAUUAGCUUUCUCAGGACUGUGUUUUGACACUUUCUGCACUCAUGAAGGAAGAAAUCAAUCCCAGAAAAGGAUGCUCUUAAUUAACUAGUCAAUGCCUUAUUAACUUUGAAUUCAUAAUGGAUAGCUAAGGGAAGGUGGUCUGUCUCAAAGCAAGCACACAGUCUCAACCGUCUGAGUUUAUGUUCUGGGUCUGCUGCUUAUAAACGUGUGACCUUGGGCAAAUUGUUGCAACACCACAGGCUGGGGCUCCUCAUCUGGACAAUGUAAAUAAAAAACAGUGCCUACCCCUCGGGGUUCUGGAAGUGAGAUGCGCUAAUGCAUAAAACACAUUUAGCCCAGCGUUCUCUCCUGCUUGGUGCUCCCUUGAGGUCAGUUGUUAGGAUGUGGUUACUCACUGAGCCUACUUUGACUACACUGAAAACCAAAUAGUACUCCAAUAAUACUCUGCUUUUGUGCAAUUGCCUUAAUUUUCCUGGGAUGCCUUGUACAUGCCACCGUUGUGCCUUUACCCGUGCUAUUUCCCUCAUCUGGAUGAACCAUUGACCAUCCUGCCCUGAACUAUAAGACAGUGCAAAAUUCCGGAUGCUUCCUCUGUCUCUCCCAAUUCUAUCCACUCUGACCCUUUCUCUCAUUCCUCACCUGCUUAACAGUUUCUUAUGUGAUGUCUGCUACGUGAUGCAGAAUAACCAACCUAAAGUAAAUAAGCCAACAUUGGCAUUACUCUUGGCCUGUGGAGUUUUGUGUUGUACAGAACAUGUAGUGCUGCUUAGGCAUAUAUUUUCAUUUUAGAAACCAAACAGGAAGAGGCUGUUCUAUCCCAAAGGGCUUUACAAACCCACCCCUCU